AGGAGCCUACGGGGGGCAGCAGUGGGGAAUAUUGGACAAUGGGGGGAACCCUGAUCCAGCGACGCCGCGUGAGUGAAGAAGUAUUUCGGUAUGUAAAGCUCUAUCAGCAGGGAAGAAAGAAAUGACGGUACCUGACUAAGAAGCCCCGGCUAACUACGUGCCAGCAGCCGCGGUAAUACGUAGGGGGCAAGCGUUAUCCGGAUUUACUGGGUGUAAAGGGAGCGUAGACGGUAACGCAAGUCUGGAGUGGAAGGCGGGGGCCCAACACCCGG
This 272-nucleotide ribosomal RNA is filed under the name uncultured bacterium. RNAcentral describes it as "partial 16S ribosomal RNA". It matches the Rfam family "Bacterial small subunit ribosomal RNA", at positions 333 to 619 of the family's 1533-position model. The record is from RNAcentral.